Molecule: long non-coding RNA, 824 nt
Organism: Zonotrichia leucophrys gambelii
Lineage: Eukaryota; Metazoa; Chordata; Aves; Passeriformes; Passerellidae
Exons: 3
Source: RefSeq, a predicted model, not a curated record
GGAAGAGUCAAUGCUUAGAGGAGAUGCCCCCAAGAAACAUCAAGGCAGUAUGAAACUCUUGCAAUGAGAAGCUGGGGGCAAAUGUAGGCAACUGAGUUCAAAAAUUAUUAUCAAUAGCACACAAGACAGACAGCAAUUAAGGAAAGGAUCAGGAGUUGCAGUGACCUAUAUAAAACAACCUUCUGGGCAAAGUGGACAAACAUAUGUAGCAUGGGCAAUAUUGUUCUAUGGAAGAAAAGAGGGAAAGGAACAGCCAAGUAUCUGCCUGGAGACCAACGCCUGUGUAUGAGCACCUGCUUCUAGGUGAAGUCUGGAGCCCUGCAGUCACCCAUCCCAGAAGAUCCACAGGAGUUCAUUGCUUUCUGUAUGCCUUCAUUGCUCCCUAGUGAAAAUCAGGGCACAAAGAUGUGGUAGGCAGAUGGUGCAUAUCCAGGCUGCUGAGUGCUCCAUAUCCACAAACCCAUUGGUUUUAUUUAGAAAGUAACACAUUCCCCACAUCCUGCUGGCAAGCUAUGCUACAGUGUUCUUUCUCUGCAUAAUUGACCACCACCUCUGCUAAGAAUUUCCUGAAGCAGGACACUGUUACAGAGCCAGCUAGACCUACCUUCUUCUGCAUGUGAAACAUAGGAAAGCACACAGAUAGAGCUUAAAUAAAAACCAAGAAAAAACCAAACCCAAGAAGAAUAAAAAAAAUCUCCUCUCCCACCCAAUAAAAGAGAAAAAGGCUUUAAAUUCAUGUGGUAUUCACAUACUCAUAAGUAAAUGAGUAAGGGAGUAAUAUAUAUCUUUCAACCAAAAUUAAAGACUUUUCCUCUACAACUUCC